This 533-nucleotide ribosomal RNA is filed under the name uncultured bacterium. RNAcentral's name for it is "partial 16S ribosomal RNA". It matches the Rfam family "Bacterial small subunit ribosomal RNA", at positions 355 to 895 of the family's 1533-position model. The record is from RNAcentral.
UGGGGAAUAUUGCACAAUGGGCGCAAGCCUGAUGCAGCAACGCCGCGUGAGGGACGACGGCCUUCGGGUUGUAAACCUCUUUUAGUAGGGAAGAAGCGAAAGUGACGGUACCUGCAGAAAAAAGCACCGGCUAACUACGUGCCAGCAGCCGCGGUAAUACGUAGGGUGCGAGCGUUGUCCGGAAUUAUUGGGCGUAAAAGAGCUCGUAGGCGGUCUGUCGCGUCUGCUGUGAAAACCCGAGGCUCAACCUCGGGCCCUGCAGUGGGUACGGGCAGACUAGAGUGCGGUAGGGGAGAAUGGAAUUCCUGGUGUAGCGGUGGAAUGCGCAGAUAUCAGGAGGAACACCGAUGGCGAAGGCAGUUCUCUGGGCCGUAACUGACGCUGAGGAGCGAAAGCGUGGGGAGCGAACAGGAUUAGAUACCCUGGUAGUCCACGCCGUAAACGUUGGGCGCUAGAUGUGGGGACCAUUCCACGGUUUCCGUGUCGCAGCUAACGCAUUAAGCGCCCCGCCUGGGGAGUACGGCCGCAAGGCU